GUCUAUGGCCAUAUUGCCCUGAACUCACCUGUUCUCGUCUGAUCUUGGAAGCUAAGCAGGGUCAGUCCUGGUUAGUACUUGGAUGGGAGACAGUAAACUAUGAAAUCCCAGGUCCUGAAAACC
RNAcentral lists this ribosomal RNA (123 nucleotides) under Prolemur simus (greater bamboo lemur). The record is from RNAcentral. Lineage: Eukaryota; Metazoa; Chordata; Mammalia; Primates; Lemuridae.